AGCAUAUCAAUAAGCGGAGGAAAAGAAACCAACAGGGAUUGCCCUAGUAACGGCGAGUGAAGCGGCAAUAGCUCAAAUUUGAAAUCUGGCUCUUUCAGGGUCCGAGUUGUAAUUUGCAGAGGGCGCUUUGGCGUUGGCAGCGGUCCAAGUUCUUUGGAACAGGACGUCACAGAGGGUGAGAAUCCCGUACGUGGUCGCUAUCCUUCGCCGUGUAAAGCCCCUUCGACGAGUCGAGUUGUUUGGGAAUGCAGCUCUAAAUGGGAGGUAAAUUUCUUCUAAAGCUAAAUACUGGCCAGAGACCGAUAGCGCACAAGUAGAGUGAUCGAAAGAUGAAAAGCACUUUGGAAAGAGAGUCAAAUAGCACGUGAAAUUGUUGAAAGGGAAGCGCUUGCAGCCAGACUUGCCUGUAGUUGCUUAUCUGGACUUUUGUCCGGUGCACUCUUCUGCGGGCAGGCCAGCAUCAGUUUGGGCAGUUGGAUAAAGGUCUCUGUCAUGUACCUCUCUUCGGGGAGGCCUUAUAGGGGAGACGACAUGCAACUAGCCUGGACUGAGGUCCGCGCAUCUGCUAGGAUGCUGGCGUAAUGGCUGUAAGCGGCCCGUCUUGAAACACGGACCAAGGAGUCUAACAUCUAUGCGAGUGUUUGGGUGUCAAGCCCAGACGCGUAAUGAAAGUGAACGGAGGUGGGAACCCUUUGGGUGCACCAUCGACCGAUCCUGAUGUCUUCGGAAGGAUUUGAGUAAGAGCAUGGCUGUUGGGACCCGAAAGAUGGUGAACUAUGCUUGAAUAGGGUGAAGCCAGAGGAAACUCUGGUGGAGGCUCGCAGCGGUUCUGACGUGCAAAUCGAUCGUCAAAUUUGGGCAUAGGGGCGAAAGACUAAUCGAACUAUCUAGUAGCUGGUUCCUG
Molecule: ribosomal RNA, 904 nt
Filed under: Phaeosphaeria norfolcia
Lineage: Eukaryota; Fungi; Ascomycota; Dothideomycetes; Pleosporales; Phaeosphaeriaceae
Description: partial large subunit ribosomal RNA
Rfam family: Eukaryotic large subunit ribosomal RNA
Source: RNAcentral